RNAcentral lists this ribosomal RNA (254 nucleotides) under uncultured bacterium. RNAcentral describes it as "partial 16S ribosomal RNA". It matches the Rfam family "Bacterial small subunit ribosomal RNA", at positions 524 to 776 of the family's 1533-position model. The record is from RNAcentral.
UACGUAGGCACCAAGCGUUAUCCGGAUUUAUUGGGCGUAAAGAGCUCGUAGGCGGUUCGGUAAGUCGGGUGUGAAAACUCUGGGCUCAACCCAGAGAGGCCACCCGAUACUGCUGUGACUAGAGUGCGGUAGGGGAGCGGGGAAUUCCUGGUGUAGCGGUGAAAUGCGCAGAUAUCAGGAGGAACACCGGUGGCGAAGGCGGUUCUCUGGGCAUUACCUGACGCUGAGGAGCGAAAGUGUGGGGAGCGAACAGG